Megalops cyprinoides (Indo-Pacific tarpon) is the source of this 276-nucleotide non-coding RNA. Lineage: Eukaryota; Metazoa; Chordata; Actinopteri; Elopiformes; Megalopidae. The record is from RefSeq and is a predicted model, not a curated record.
CACUUGCAUUCCUGCAAUGUAGCCUCUUGCGAUGCAGUUCGUUUGGGGCCAAGCAGGAUUGCACACAGCAGAUGAAAGAAGCUAAGGCGUGGCUACUCGAGUCCCAGUAGUAUCACGUGCGAUGUUCUUUGGACAGUGACCGUUCACAGUCUGUUUCCACGGCGGUGGCGGAUUGCCCUGUACCGUCACCUAUCGAAAAACAGGCAGAGUAAAGAGCAGCAAGAUAUUGUUUUUGGCAGAAAGAUUUCUCCAAACACACUGAAAGCUGCAACAUCC